Molecule: ribosomal RNA, 254 nt
Filed under: uncultured Moraxellaceae bacterium
Lineage: Bacteria; Pseudomonadati; Pseudomonadota; Gammaproteobacteria; Moraxellales; Moraxellaceae
Description: partial 16S ribosomal RNA
Rfam family: Bacterial small subunit ribosomal RNA
Source: RNAcentral
UACAGAGGGUGCAAGCGUUAAUCGGAAUUACUGGGCGUAAAGCGAGUGUAGGUGGCUCAUUAAGUCACAUGUGAAAUCCCCGGGCUUAACCUGGGAACUGCAUGUGAUACUGGUGGUGCUAGAAUAUGUGAGAGGGAAGUAGAAUUCCAGGUGUAGCGGUGAAAUGCGUAGAGAUCUGGAGGAAUACCGAUGGCGAAGGCAGCUUCCUGGCAUAAUAUUGACACUGAGAUUCGAAAGCGUGGGUAGCAAACAGG